Molecule: ribosomal RNA, 672 nt
Filed under: uncultured bacterium
Lineage: Bacteria
Description: bacterial SSU rRNA
Rfam family: Bacterial small subunit ribosomal RNA
Source: RNAcentral
CCCGCGUCUGAUUAGCUAGUUGGUGAGGUAAUGGCUCACCAAGGCGACGAUCAGUAGCUGGUCUGAGAGGAUGAUCAGCCACAUUGGGACUGAGACACGGCCCAAACUCCUACGGGAGGCAGCAGUGGGGAAUAUUGGACAAUGGGCGAAAGCCUGAUCCAGCCAUGCCGCGUGAGUGAUGAAGGCCUUAGGGUUGUAAAGCUCUUUUAUCCGGGAAGAUAAUGACUGUACCGGAAGAAUAAGCCCCGGCUAACUUCGUGCCAGCAGCCGCGGUAAUACGAAGGGGGCUAGCGUUGCUCGGAAUCACUGGGCGUAAAGGGCGCGUAGGCGGAUGAUUAAGUCGGAGGUGAAAGCCCAGGGCUCAACCCUGGAAUUGCCUUCGAUACUGAUCGUCUCGAGAGUGGUAGAGGUAAGUGGAAUACCGAGUGUAGAGGUGAAAUUCGUAGAUAUUCGGUGGAACACCAGUGGCGAAGGCGACUUACUGGACCAUUUCUGACGCUGAGGCGCGAAAGCGUGGGGAUCAAACAGGAUUAGAUACCCUGGUAGUCCACGCCGUAAACGAUGAAUGCCAGCCGUUGGGGAGCUUGCUCCUCAGUGGCGCAGCUAACGCUUUAAGCAUUCCGCCUGGGGAGUACGGUCGCAAGAUUAAACUCAAAGGAAUUGACGGGGGCC